Molecule: long non-coding RNA, 1541 nt
Filed under: Equus caballus (horse)
Lineage: Eukaryota; Metazoa; Chordata; Mammalia; Perissodactyla; Equidae
Description: lncRNA (ENSECAG00000060385.1)
Source: RNAcentral
UCCCCAUGGAUGUUAAUAAGCUCGGGUCUGUGGCAGCAACAACUAUCUUCACUCCCAGCCUGCAGAGGUGAGCUACCAGUGAACUUCUUAAUGAUACGGAGCAUUCUCACCAGAAUGAGAUGAAUUCUCACCUCUCACCAGAGCAUACCUAAAUGUCCUUGGUGAAUAGUGUAUCCUCGCGUCCCUCCUGUGGUACCUUGGAUUCAGGUUCAGUUCCUGCCUUUUAUGAAUGGACCUCUCCAACGAAUGCCUGUAUUUGGCUGCUUUCCAGUACCUUCAAAUUUUUAAAAACUAUGGUCGAUAAUUUACAACUGUCAUCUGCAGGAAGACUGGGGCAAACCUUUGGACUGGGACGAGACCUGCAAUUGUUUUACAAACUAUUGUUUGAGAAGUCAGCAGGAAAACAGACAUCCUGAUCACAAGGACCGAAGAUUGUGGACUUUCUGAAGAAAGGAAGUAAAACCAGAGAGACGUGAUUUGAUUGGACACUGUGCAUGGAACUAAAUUGAGUCAUUGAUUUGGGAGAAAACUUGAGGACAGGUCUGCUUGGGAUUCUGAGACUUGGAAGAAGGCAUGGUGUCAUCCUGAUGGGCUGAAGUGAAGAUUUAUACUCUGUCCCAGGCAGCUUUCGCGUGAUCUUUGUGCAGUCUGGGUUUUCAGCAAGGCUGCUCCUUAGCCUCAGCAGGUUAAAGGCUACAGCAAGGCAUUCAGCGAGCCAGCCAACAAAGAGAAAGCGGAUUAUAAUCAUGAGGGUAGGGUCCUUUCUGGACAGAUGCUUUUUCUGUCUUUCUGCAUGCUUUGGUAAACUGAACAAUUUGGCUUCCUUUGUUUUGAGAUAUGUAAUCCCUCAGGAGAGUUAGCCAGUGGAAUUUUAACCCUUUCUACCAAAGCAACCUCUCAGCUGACCUCCAAUUUUCCCAAAGGAAAAAAUAGAGUUUCCUAAGCUUCUUUGGGGAAGGUUACUUGUGGGUCACUGAAAAUGGCAGAGUAACACUGUGCCAGUGAAUGACAUGUCAUGAGUGAUUAUGGAAGAGCUAAAAAAUAAAAUUAAUUGAUGGUCCAAUCAGUAGGCAUCAAAAAGAUCAUGUGUUUCCAAUAACUGCUAUAUAUAUUUUUCUAGCUCGAAUUCAAUUUCGAAGAGAAAGAUAGACACAAAGCACAUUUGUAUUACCGCCAUUUUUAGGGCCUACACUGUAAGAAUAUAUUCAUUAAUGAAAACUAUGAGGAUUUACGUUGUUUGGGAAAUUGCAUGACGUUUCCGCUUCAAUAUGAGUGACAAUGAUAAAGUAAAUAUUUGUAAAGUGUUGGUAAUACCACAAUAUUACAACUAAGAUUGCAAAAUCCUCAAUACAGGAAUGCCUGUUGAAUGUUCCCCAAACCUUGCUACUUAAGCUGCAGGAGCAGAAACGUUACAUUCUUAUCCUCAGUAACUGCUAUUCAUGAUUGAGUUAUAUGUGGAUAGGAAACUCUUCACCUAGAGAUGGUUUUGGAGAGCCAAAUAAACCAGGUAUUUCAAUAAGAUAGUUUUAUUGUUAUUAUUU